RNAcentral lists this ribosomal RNA (253 nucleotides) under uncultured bacterium. RNAcentral describes it as "partial 16S ribosomal RNA". It matches the Rfam family "Bacterial small subunit ribosomal RNA", at positions 524 to 776 of the family's 1533-position model. The record is from RNAcentral.
UACGAAGGGGGCUAGCGUUGCUCGGAAUCACUGGGCGUAAAGCGCUCGUAGGCGGAUCUUUAAGUCAGGGGUGAAAUCCUGGAGCUCAACUCCAGAACUGCCUUUGAUACUGAGAAGCUUGAGUCCGGGAGAGGUGAGUGGAACUGCGAGUGUAGAGGUGAAAUUCGUAGAUAUUCGCAAGAACACCAGUGGCGAAGGCGGCUCACUGGCCCGGUACUGACGCUGAGGUGCGAAAGCGUGGGGAGCAAACAGG